This 496-nucleotide ribosomal RNA is filed under the name uncultured bacterium. RNAcentral describes it as "bacterial SSU rRNA". It matches the Rfam family "Bacterial small subunit ribosomal RNA", at positions 903 to 1397 of the family's 1533-position model. The record is from RNAcentral.
AAAGGAAUAGACGGGGGCCCGCACAAGCGGAGGAGCAUGUGGUUUAAUUCGAUGAUACGCGAGGAACCUUACCUAGGCUUGAAAGACGUAUGCUUUAUUUAGAGAUAGAUAUUUCCGGUAACGGACAUACGUCUAGGUGCUGCAUGGCUGUCGUCAGCUCGUGCCGUGAGGUGUUUGGUUAAGUCCAGCAACGAGCGCAACCCCUAUUAUUAGUUACCAGCGAGUUAAGUCGGGGACUCUAAUAAAACUGCCAGCGUAAGCUGAGAGGAAGGUGGGGAUGACGUCAAGUCAGCACGGUCCUUACGUCUAGGGCUACACACGUGCUACAAUGGUUGGUACAGAGGGCAGCUACAUAGUGAUAUGAUGCGAAUCUCUAAAGCCAAUCUCAGUUCGGAUUGAAGUCUGCAACUCGACUUCAUGAAGUCGGAUUCGCUAGUAAUCGCGUAUCAGCAAUGACGCGGUGAAUACGUUCCCGGGCCUUGUACACACCGCCCGU